Molecule: non-coding RNA, 947 nt
Filed under: Methylomonas sp. LWB
Lineage: Bacteria; Pseudomonadati; Pseudomonadota; Gammaproteobacteria; Methylococcales; Methylococcaceae
Description: Bacterial large subunit ribosomal RNA
Rfam family: Bacterial large subunit ribosomal RNA
Source: Rfam by way of RNAcentral
UUAACCCGUGUGGGGUAGCCGUAGCGAAAGCGAGUCCGAAUAGGGCGUCCGUAGUGGCAUGUUCUAGACCCGAAGCGGAGUGAUCUACCCAUGGCCAGGUUGAAGCGACGGUAAGACGUCGUGGAGGACCGAACCCACUUAGGUUGAAAACUGAGGGGAUGAGCUGUGGGUAGGGGUGAAAGGCCAAUCAAACUCCGUGAUAGCUGGUUCUCCCCGAAAUGCAUUUAGGUGCAGCGUCGCGUGUUUCUCACCGGAGGUAGAGCUACUGGAUGGUCUAGGGGGCCCACAAGCUUACCGAAAUCAGCCAAACUCCGAAUGCCGGUGAGUGAGAGCGCGGCAGUGAGACUGCGGGCGAUAAGGUUCGUAGUCGAGAGGGAAACAGCCCAGAUCGCCAGCUAAGGUCCCUAAGCGUGUACUAAGUGGAAAAGGAUGUGGGGUCGCGAAGACAACCAGGAGGUUGGCUUAGAAGCAGCCACCCUUGAAAGAGUGCGUAAUAGCUCACUGGUCAAGUGAUCCUGCGCCGACAAUGUAGCGGGGCUCAAGUACACCACCGAAGCUGCGGCAUUCACACAAUGCACCCCCUUGAUUCUGCGGAGUCUUGGGCAGUGGUGUGGAUGGGUAGGGGAGCGUCGUGUGGCCAUGGAAGCGGCAGGGUGACCUAGCCGUGGAGGCCACACGAGUGAGAAUGCAGGCAUGAGUAGCGAAAGACGAGUGAGAAACUCGUCCGCCGAAUGACCAAGGGUUCCUGGGCCAGGUUAAUCCGCCCAGGGUGAGUCGGGACCUAAGACGAGGCCGACAGGCGUAGCCGAUGGACAACGGGUUGAUAUUCCCGUACCCGUGUGAACGCGCCCCUGGUGAAUCAGUGAUACUAACCAUCCUGAAGCGUCCUUACGCCCCUUCGGGGGCCCUGGAUGUGGAUGCAUGGGACCUGAUCUGGUAGUAGCCAA